UACCAGCACCCCGAGUGGUCGGGACGAUUAUUGGGCCUAAAGCAUCCGUAGCCGGUCCUACAAGUCUUCCGUUAAAUCCACCUGCUUAACAGAUGGGCUGCGGGGGAUACUACAGGGCUAGGAGGCGGGAGAGGCAAGCGGUACUUUAUGGGUAGGGGUAAAAUCCGUUGAUCCAUAGAAGACCACCAGUGGCGAAGGCGGCCUGCCAGAACGCGCUCGACGGUGAGGGAUGAAAGCUGGGGGAGCAAACCGG
RNAcentral lists this ribosomal RNA (253 nucleotides) under uncultured bacterium. RNAcentral's name for it is "partial 16S ribosomal RNA". It matches the Rfam family "Archaeal small subunit ribosomal RNA", at positions 474 to 727 of the family's 1478-position model. The record is from RNAcentral.